Long non-coding RNA from Pteropus alecto (black flying fox), 661 nucleotides. RefSeq lists it as uncharacterized. Lineage: Eukaryota; Metazoa; Chordata; Mammalia; Chiroptera; Pteropodidae. The record is from RefSeq and is a predicted model, not a curated record. The transcript has 3 exons.
ACCAGGCUGUCAGAAGUCUGCCAAUUGGUCAUUUAUGCAGCACCCUCUGUGCCUAUGACUGUAUUUAGUCAACUGAGACCACAGUCCCCGCUCAACACUCUGGUGGUCGCAUGCGAAUUCUCUUCAAUAAGUAUAACAGGACAGAUUAAAAGAUGCUCUCUUUUCCGAGCAGAUUGCUGAGCUAGGGCGAAGGCAAGGAGGUGGUCGGAGGAGGGGAAAAACAUGUUGUCUACCUACUGCUGCUUCAAUUUUAAGUGAGGUUUAUUUAUCCAUUGACUCAUUCAGUAAGCUUUACCUAAAUACCCACUCUAUGCCACGUUCCAGGUUAGGAUCUGGGAUUUUGAAGGCCAGAAAGACACAGUUUCUGCUCUUGAAGAUCUUAAAGUUUACUAAGGAAAGACAAAAUUAUGAACAAAUAAUUAAGAUACUCUAUAAUAAGUGCUAUAUUAGAAAUACUAUCAAGGUGCUAGAAAUCAGAGAAGACAGGGCGAUCAAUUCUGCAAGAGGUGGUGUUAUCUGAGCAGGAUCUUAAUUAAGAAGUGAGAAUGAAGGGCAGUCCUAGCAGAAGGCACAGCAAACAGUUUGACACGGCAGCACAUACGAUCAUGACAGUUGAAGGAUGGAAGGUAUAUUGUGGCUAAUGCAGAGGGUAGAAUCAGCA